RNAcentral lists this long non-coding RNA (707 nucleotides) under Homo sapiens (human). RNAcentral describes it as "LHRI_LNC1213.1". The record is from RNAcentral. Lineage: Eukaryota; Metazoa; Chordata; Mammalia; Primates; Hominidae.
CAACCAGUCUGACUGGUUAUGCGAGGGGGCCGAUCAGAGGUACUUUCCAUUUAUCAUCUGCCACACAGUGCAAAGGGAGUAGCCUCUGAUCCUUUUGUUACUUCAGUGUGUAGAGGUGGGGUUUUCCUUUUGAUUCAGUUAUAGGAAGUCAGCACAAAUCGGCCUUAGUUUCCCGGCCUCCACACCCUAUUCUCCUGUCUCACUGUGGUUUCUUUGUUCACCUUUAUCUGUUUAAUAGCAUGUAUUCAUGCUUCUCACUGCCACUAAUAUGUGUUUUGGAUGAUGCAGCAAGCUAAAUACAAUUGCUUACAGGUCAAUUCAUUGAAAAUAUUUUCACUUCAGCCCUCUUCAAAUUAAAUAAGUGAAAUGAAAGAAUAGAUCAAUUAAUCAUUUUAGUAGCUAGGCCCUGGGUUAUUGAGGUCAGUGACCUUGGUGGGCUGAUAAAUGAAUUUGAUCCUGGGGAGGUUUCUGUUUCCCUUGUUUUAAUCAUUUAUGUGUGCCCUAUUAUUCAUAGAGAGAGGUACAGUGCUAGCACUCCAAAUUCAAGUUCAUUAAUAUUACACAACAGAUGCAGGUGUUUCCAGGACGGCUAAGUCAGAAUAGCCCUUUUCACUGGAAAGUGUGAAAGCCAAAGUAAUUGUCUUCCAACUAUGCAACAGGCACAGAAGUGCAUAUUAGGAUUACUGAAGUUGAAAUUUUUACCUGAC